UACGGAACCUGCAGGAAUCAUCCAUGUGGACAAAUGAAAAAUGCCUUUUGUCUACGAAUUGCAGUGAUCCUACAUAAACAUGGAGGCUUCUGACUGGCUUAGCACAACUGGCUAAGUCUGAGGGUUACCCUCCAUACAGC
This 140-nucleotide small nucleolar RNA is filed under the name Myotis davidii. RNAcentral's name for it is "Small Cajal body specific RNA 3". It matches the Rfam family "Small Cajal body specific RNA 3". Rfam says of the family: scaRNAs are a specific class of small nuclear RNAs which localise to the Cajal bodies and guide the modification of RNA polymerase II transcribed spliceosomal RNAs U1, U2, U4, U5 and U12. Lineage: Eukaryota; Metazoa; Chordata; Mammalia; Chiroptera; Vespertilionidae. The record is from Rfam by way of RNAcentral.